CCUACGGGGGGCAGCAGUGAGGAAUAUUGGUCAAUGGACGAGAGUCUGAACCAGCCAAGUAGCGUGAAGGAUGACUGCCCUAUGGGUUGUAAACUUCUUUUAUAUGGGAAUAAAACGUUCCACGUGUGGGAUUUUGUAUGUACCAUAUGAAUAAGGAUCGGCUAACUCCGUGCCAGCAGCCGCGGUAAUACGGAGGAUCCGAGCGUUAUCCGGAUUUAUUGGGUUUAAAGGGAGCGUAGGUGGAUUGUUAAGUCAGUUGUGAAAGUUUGCGGCUCAACCGUAAAAUUGCAGUUGAAACUGGCAGUCUUGAUUACAGUAGAGGUGGGCGGAAUUCGUGGUGUAGCGGUGAAAUGCUUAGAUAUCACGAAGAACUCCGAUUGCGAAGGCAGUUCACUGGACUGCAACUGACACUGAGGCUCGAAAGUGUGGGUAUCAAACAGGAUUAGAUACCCUUGUAGUC
RNAcentral lists this ribosomal RNA (460 nucleotides) under uncultured bacterium. RNAcentral's name for it is "partial 16S ribosomal RNA". It matches the Rfam family "Bacterial small subunit ribosomal RNA", at positions 338 to 795 of the family's 1533-position model. The record is from RNAcentral.